RNAcentral lists this transfer RNA (85 nucleotides) under Felis catus (domestic cat). It matches the Rfam family "tRNA". Rfam says of the family: Transfer RNA (tRNA) molecules are approximately 80 nucleotides in length. Their secondary structure includes four short double-helical elements and three loops (D, anti-codon, and T loops). The record is from Rfam by way of RNAcentral. Lineage: Eukaryota; Metazoa; Chordata; Mammalia; Carnivora; Felidae.
GCCUGGGUGGCUCAAUUGGUUAAGCAUCUGGCUUCGGCUCAGGUCAUGAUUUCAUGGUUCGUGGGUUCGAGCCCCAUAUUGGGCU